Molecule: long non-coding RNA, 4742 nt
Filed under: Sus scrofa (pig)
Lineage: Eukaryota; Metazoa; Chordata; Mammalia; Artiodactyla; Suidae
Description: lncRNA (ENSSSCG00000057175.1)
Source: RNAcentral
GGAUAAGCCCCAAAUAUACUGUCCUGCAAAGAUGAGAGCUAUUCCGUGAUACUGAAUAAUCAAAUAUAAAAUUUAAAUGUUAUUUUACCAUCCCCCCCAACCUCACCAAACAGAUGUAACCUAUUCUGAGAUAUUUAAUUAAGGCAUAUAAUCACAUUGCUCACAUGCCACACCUAUACUCUCCGAUCAGUGAUUGCAUCUAAUAAUACUUUAAAUCCAUUGAAAUUCCACAUUAAACACAGUUGUACCUGUAAAUAAUCCAAGCUGUUUAAAGUUUGCUGCAAAUGCAUUCACACUCCACUUUUUUUAAGUUGUAAAUUAUGAUGGCAUUUGUCAAGCUGUCCCUCCAUCUGGAAGCACAGUCAAAUAUCAGGUGUUCCACAUUAAUUUUUUGGAUGCUUUGGAAAGACAGCUCAUCUAAUAGUGUACAAAUGUACCAAAAUGCAUCUCAGCCUAAUAAUUUACCUUACACAAGUGGAUAUUAUUAUUAUUUUUAAUACCAUAGUCAGAAAGAAGGCUUAUGAGUCACCUUUCAUUUCUGGAAAGUUAGUACCACAAAUUUAGAAACAAUCAAAGUUUAGCUUGCUUAAUCCCGGACUUCCCUGGAGUCUGGGAUUAAGCAAUUUUUUAAAACAUUUUUAUAAGGUGAGUUUUCUCCCCAAAGGUCGGAGACUUUGAUUGAUCAUAAAACCUCCCCCCACCCGCCUCAUCUGAUUUUCCAAGGCUAGAUUAACUCCUAUUCAAACUGACCAAAAGAUAAUGACUAAAAAUCACUUGGGCUCAAUAUUUCAAGUUUUCCUGCUUCAUCAAACGAACAUGGUAGAGUUUAUGCAACUACAUACGUCUUAUAUUCUAUAUAAGCCUUUGCAUGCUCACGUACACGUGUGGGUGCUACAUCUCUGCAUAUAUAUUAUGAAAUGCCAUAAUAAGUUCAGGUAACACAGUGAAGCUAUAAAUUCCCGUCAGAAAUUUAUUUAAAAAUUACUUAUUGAUGUUCUCCGUUCAGGCACUAAGAUAGGUAUUAGCAAUACCCUUGUGUAUAAUAGCGACAAUGUGCUUCUCAUGAAAAUGAAGCCACUAGCUCAACAACUCCUACCAUCAAAUAGUGAUUUUUGAGCAAGCAGUUUAACUGAAUGGGAUAAUUGUGAGAGUUAAAUGGCAAAAUGUAUAUGUUAAUAUUUUGUAAAUUACAAAAUGCCAUGUAAUGUUACACACUGAAUACUUAAAGAUAUGUUCUUCAGUGCUCGUAUCCUGAAGAUACAGAACUGGUAUAAGACUGACUAUGAGUGAUUUGGGGUAAAAUGCAGUGUGAGUAAGAAGUUUGUAGACUUAGCUGAUUUAAGGUAGAGAAAAAAAUAUCCUCUAGAAUGAAUAGUUCCUAAAUUUCCCUCAUUACCUCAAGGCCUUUGCCUCAGGCUUGUUACUUCUCUCUCACAAUCAAAAUUUACCAUCGUUCUAGCACCCGGUAAUUUACAACCUCAACCUUGGGUGUCUUGCUGGAAUUGUACUCUUUCACAGUUUCAAUUACAUUUGUAUUUGGAAUGGAGACAACCCUGCUGAAGUUAUUCGUUGUUUCUGUUCCUCCUGAGUUCAUCUUUUCCCUCUCUCCAUCCUGCCUCAUUCCCCACUCUCGUUGGUCCUCAUCCAGAGAGCACUUCCCAAUAAAUAAACUUCCUGCAUGCACAUUUCUAUCUGAGUCUACUUCCCAGGAGACCUAAGCUGCAUUACCACUACUAUAUGUUAUUUAGUAGAAUAUAGACUAUAUUGCAUGUUAGAAUAUAUUGCAUGUAAAAGGUACUUAAUUAUCCACAUAUCUGGACAUAAAGAAUUGACUCACAAAAUAAAGCCUUAUCAUUUAUUUCAAUAGAGAUAUUCUUACAUUUGUUUAUAUGUUUAUUCGUAUCACAAAUAACCAUAUGCCUAAUAUAUACCAGGUACAGUGAAAAAUAUUCAGGGUAUCAUGAUGAGCAAAAAAGUGAAGUUUAUAUGCAUACAGCUGGUAGAUGAGAUAGGGAGAUGAACAUCUGUCAAGUAAUCACAAAAAGUGUAGUAUUUGUUGUCAAUAAUAACAUCAAGGAAAAAAUAGAGAACAGCUGUAUCAGAUGGACUGGGAAAUCAGAGAGGACACCUUGAGAAAAUGACCUUGCUACUAAUUUCUAAAGGACAAUAGGAAAUAAGAAGGCUAAAAAAUCUCUGCAAAGACUCCCAGGACAGUGGAAUCCUGAUGGAAGGGAAAGAAGGUUCUGAUAGCUGGAGAGCAGGCAGCUAGGGGAAAAUGACCCAGAGUGAGGCAAUAGAGACAGGUGUAGCCUACAGUGCUAUACUCUUAGUUUAAAAUUUUGAAUAUCAUCCUACAAGAAAGAGGAAGGCAUGGAAGUUUUUUAAUGCAGUGGAAUGACGUAAUCAAAUAUAUAUUUUGAAGUAUCACUCUGAUUGCAAUGUAUGUGUAAUUGCAUAUUCAUACAUUCACUUGGGUGAAUGUGUGAAAAUCAGUGAAGUCAAGUGAUUUCUGGGGAUGGGUUCUGUCAUUUCCUCCACAUGCUAGCCUGGGUGAUAAUCACCAUUGUCAUGGAAACAAAAAUAGUUUCCUACAAUGCAUAUAUAAAUGCCAUUGUCAUUUAUCAUUUUCUAACAAUUAAAAAGCCGAGCUCUUUUUUUUUUAAUUGAGAUGUAGUUGAUUUAUAAUAUUAUAUUAGUCUCAGGUGUACAACACAGUGACUCAAAAAUUUCAGAGCUUAUACUCCAUUUGAAAUUAUGGUAAAAUAUUGGCUAUAUUCCAUGUGCUAUACAGUUUAUCCCUGUAACUUAGUAGUUUAUUUAUUUUAUACAUAGUCAUUCAUAGUUUUAUACAUAGUAGUUUCUUAAUCCUCUCCCCCUAUCUUGCCCUUCCCUCCUUCCCUCUCCCUACUGAUAAUCACUUGUUUGUUGUCUCUAUCUGUGAGUCUUUUUCUGUUAUGUUGAUUCUGGCCCCAGGCUCCAGCCCUACUCUCCAGUCGGCAAGCACCAGCUUUGGGAUGCCACAGAACCCAUACUAGCCAUAUCAGGAACUGGCCCCACACACCAGCAGGUCAACACUAAAUCUGUCCACCACCCACCUCAGCACCUGGCUGUGCUCACCAGUGAGCUAGCACCAGCAAUGAGACUCCACAACCCCAGGGUUCCCCAGCCAGCUGCUUGUCACUUGGCCCCACCAAAGAGUGGCCAGCAGUUUCUGCACAAGGUAGGGCCUGACAACCAACCAGACUGGCAGCCGGCCACCCACAGCCAACCUCAACAGAAGUACCCAUGCAGCCCACAUAGGGGGCACCCCUAGAACUUAUAACACUAGUAACCAGGGGAGAUUAUACCACUGGGACUCAGAGGACGUUUCCUACCAAAGGCCACUUUUCCCAGGUUAGGAAGCAAAACCAACCUACAAGAUAUACAGAAAUACAAACAACAACGCUGAAAAAAAUAAAGCAAUAAAGGAAUAUGUUCCAAACAAAGGAAGGAGAUAAAAUCCCAGAGGAAGGUCUAAGUGGAGAUAGGUAGUCUACCAGAUAAAGAAUUCAAAGUAAUGGUCAUAAAGAUGACCAAAGAACUUGGGAGGAGAAUAGAUGAACAAAGUGAAAAGUUAGAGGUUUUUAACAAAGAGUUAGAAAACAUAAAGAAGCCACAGAUAUCACCAGAAGAUUAUGAAACUCAAGAAGCAGCUCUACAGCAUCUAUGCCACGCACACCAAACAGAGCCUGCAGAUGAUCAAGUUGGCUAUGGAGAGAUACUGCUACAUGAACCCCACGGAGGCCCAGGAGUUUUGCAUCUUAGACAAAGUUCUAAUUCACUCUCCCUAGGAUGAUGGGAAUGAGUCUGAGCUGAUGCAGAAGGAGGCAGUGGUGGCAAUGGCAGCAGCAGAACCUGCCCCAGCAAGCAUCUGAGAGCUGGCCCUUACCCUCACCCUCUAAAGGAAAGUAGAGGAGCCAUAUGCCAGCCAUGCCUGCCUCCUGCUACUGAGGCUUGGGGGGCCUUGAGGAACUCUGAAUUUAAAGGUGCCCCAAAGGUGGGUAUCUUGGCUGAGACAGUGUGAUGUUAAAUUAAAUCUUUGUAGUCUUUGAAAAUAUAUAUACAUAUAUUGCUUUAUAUAAACCUCAUGUCAACAACAGCCCAAAAAUAUAUAAAUAUAAACACUCAAAGAAGAUAAGUGAAUCCAAACAUGACAUUAAAGAUAACCAUCAAGCCAUAAGGGAAAAGAACAAAAUAAGAAAAUUACUAUAAAAAUGACCCCAAAACAAUUAGCAAAGGGGCAAUAAGUACAUACCUGUCAGGGAUGAAUGGAUAUAAAAAAUAAACUAUAUAUACUCUGCCUGUAAAAGAGUACUUAAGAUCUAAAGACUCAUACAGACUAACAGAGAAUGGAAAAAAAGUAUUCUAUUCAAAUGUAAAUCAAAAGAAUGCUAGGGUAGCAAUACUUGUCGAAAAUAGACUUUAAAACAAAGACUAACAGAGACAAAGAAGGGCAUUAUAUAAUGAUCAAGGGAUUAAUCCAAAAAGGUAUAAUAAUUUAAAAUACAUUUGCACCCCAAAUAGGAACACCUAAAUACAGGAAGCAAAUAUUAGCAGACAUAAACAGAGCUGUCGACAGUAACCCAAUAAUAGUAGGGGACUUUUAACACCCUACUUACCUCAAUGGACGGAUCAUCCAAACAGAAAAUCAGUAAGGAAACACUGGCCCUAAAUCACACAUUAAAGCAGAUGGACUUAAUUUA